UUCCGGUUGAUCCCGCCGGACCCCACUGCUAUCGGGAUGGGACUAAGACAUGCUAGUCGAACGUCUCUAAGCUAUGGAAGAGACGCGGCACACAGCUCAGUAACACGUGGCUAACCUGCCCUUGGGACAAGGACAACUCCGGGAAACUGGGGCUAAUCCCUGAUAGGUGAGAACUCCUGGAAUGGAUUCUCGCUGAAAGGACGUUUAGACCAUGCUUCUAGGCGUCACCCAAGGAGGGGGCCGCGACCGAUCAGGUUGUUGGUGAGGUAACGGCUCACCAAGCCUUUAACCGGUACGGGCCGUGAGAGCGGGAGCCCGGAGAUGGGCACUGAGACGAGGGCCCAGACCCUACGGGGCGCAGCAGUCGCGAAAACUCCGCAAUACACGAAAGUGUGACGGGGCUAUCCCGAGUGCCAUCCGCUGAGGAUGGCUUUUCCCCAGUGUAUAAAGCUGGGGGAAUAAGGAGAGGGCAAGCCUGGUGUCAGCCGCCGCGGUAAUACCAGCUCUCCGAGUGGUGGGGAUGUUUAUUGGGCCUAAAGCAUUCGUAGCCUGCUUGGCAAGUCCUCCGUUAAAUCCAACGAUUCAAUUGUUGGCCUGCGGGGGAUACUGUCCGGCUAGGGGGCGGGAGAGGCCGACGGUAUCCCCGGGGUAGGGGUGAAAUCCUAUAAUCCCGGGAGGACCACCAGUGGCGAAGGCUGUUCGGUAGAACGCGCUCGACGGUGAGGGAUGAAAGCUGGGGGAGCGAACCGGAUUAGAUACCCGGGUAGUCCCAGUUGUAAACGAUGCAGGCUAGGUGUUGGCGCGGCUACGUGCCGCUCCAGUGCCGCAGGGAAGCCGUUAAGCCUGCCGCCUGGGAAGUACGGCCGCAAGGCUGAAACUUAAAGGAAUUGGCGGGGGAGCACCACAAGGUGUGAAGCUUGCGGU
This 924-nucleotide ribosomal RNA is filed under the name uncultured archaeon. RNAcentral's name for it is "bacterial SSU rRNA". It matches the Rfam family "Archaeal small subunit ribosomal RNA", at positions 1 to 901 of the family's 1478-position model. The record is from RNAcentral.